This 372-nucleotide ribosomal RNA is filed under the name uncultured bacterium. Its description in RNAcentral is "bacterial SSU rRNA". It matches the Rfam family "Bacterial small subunit ribosomal RNA", at positions 524 to 898 of the family's 1533-position model. The record is from RNAcentral.
UACGGAGGAUGCAAGCGUUAUCCGGAUUCAUUGGGUUUAAAGGGUGCGCAGGUGGGAAUGUAAGUCAGUGGUGAAAUACUGCCGCUUAACGGUAGAGCUGCCAUUGAUACUGCGUUUCUUGAGUAUGGUUGAGGUAGGUGGAAUGUGUUGUGUAGCGGUGAAAUGCAUAGAUAUGACACAGAACGCCGAUUGCGAAGGCAACUUACUAAGCCAUUACUGACGCUGAGGCACGAAAGCGUGGGUAGCGAACAGGAUUAGAUACCCUGGUAGUCCACGCUGUAAACGAUGUUCACUCGCUGUUUGCGAUACACAGUAAGCGGCUGAGCGAAAGCAUUAAGUGAACCACCUGGGGAGUACGAUCGCAAGGUUGAA